This 480-nucleotide ribosomal RNA is filed under the name uncultured bacterium. RNAcentral describes it as "bacterial SSU rRNA". It matches the Rfam family "Bacterial small subunit ribosomal RNA", at positions 29 to 524 of the family's 1533-position model. The record is from RNAcentral.
AGCGAACGCUGGCGGCAGGCUUAACACAUGCAAGUCGAGCGGGCACUUCGGUGUCAGCGGCAGACGGGUGAGUAACACGUGGGAACGUGCCCUUCGGUUCGGAAUAACUCAGGGAAACUUGGGCUAAUACCGGAUACGCCCUUUUGGGGAAAGGUUUACUGCCGAAGGAUCGGCCCGCGUCUGAUUAGCUAGUUGGUGGGGUAAUGGCCUACCAAGGCGACGAUCAGUAGCUGGUCUGAGAGGAUGAUCAGCCACACUGGGACUGAGACACGGCCCAGACUCCUACGGGAGGCAGCAGUGGGGAAUAUUGGACAAUGGGCGCAAGCCUGAUCCAGCCAUGCCGCGUGAGUGAUGAAGGCCUUAGGGUUGUAAAGCUCUUUCGAUCGAGACGAACGGCUCUUGGGUGAAUACCCCUGAGGGCGUGACGGUACCGAGAGAAGAAGCCCCGGCUAACUCCGUGCCAGCAGCCGCCGCGGUAAC